This 96-nucleotide non-coding RNA is filed under the name pig gut metagenome. RNAcentral describes it as "THF riboswitch". It matches the Rfam family "THF (Tetrahydrofolate) riboswitch aptamer". From Rfam's summary of the family: THF riboswitch presents a pseudoknot that joins P1-P2 and the loop of P3 and two THF binding. The record is from RNAcentral.
GCAGAGUAGAGAUAUGCGCGUCAAGUGCCAGACGGACGGGGAGUUGCCGGCUGGACGAAAGGCUUCGCCUGCGGUGCAUAUGUCGCAUCCCGCUGC